Molecule: small nuclear RNA, 311 nt
Filed under: Castor canadensis (American beaver)
Lineage: Eukaryota; Metazoa; Chordata; Mammalia; Rodentia; Castoridae
Description: 7SK RNA (ENSCCNG00000014582.1)
Rfam family: 7SK RNA
About the family: 7SK was discovered as an abundant small nuclear RNA in the mid-70s but a possible function has only recently been suggested. Two independent studies have found that 7SK RNA binds the CDK9/cyclin T complex (known as elongation factor P-TEFb).
Source: Rfam by way of RNAcentral
GGAUGUGAGGGCGAUCUGGCUGCGACAUCUGUCCCCAUUGAUCGCCAGGGUUGAUUCGGCUGAUCUGGCUGGCUAGGCGGGUGUCCCCUUCCUCCCUCACCGCUCCAUGUGCGUCCCUCCCGAAGCUGCGCGCUCGGUCGAAGAGGACGACCAUCCCCGAUAGAGGAGGACUGUUCUUCGGUCAAGGGUAUACGAGUAGCUGCGCUCCCCUGCUAGAACCUCCAAACAAGCUCUCAAAAUAUAACCAACACAGGAUAAACCAGUUUAUGAGUAAUAUUGCCUACAGAUUUAGCAAUGUGGAGCAUUUCAAU